GACGAACGCUGGCGGCGUGCUUAACACAUGCAAGUCGAACGAUGAAGAAAAGAAUCGAAGCUUCGGCAGAAAUUCAUUUCGGAUUAGUGGCAGACGGGUGAGUAACGCGUGAGCAACCUACCUCUUACAAAGGGAUAGCCUCGGGAAACCGGGAUUAAUACCAUAUAACAUUGUGACGAAGCAUUUCGAUGCAAUCAAAGCUACGGCGGUAAGAGAUGGGCUCGCGUCCCAUUAACCGGAUGGUGAGGUAACGGCUCACCAUAGUGACGAUGGGUAACCGGGCGGAGAGGGGGAACGGUCACACUGGAACUGAGACACGGUCCAGACUCCUACGGGAGGCAGCAGUGGGGAAUAUUGCACAAUGGAGGGAACUCUGAUGCAGCGACGCCGCGUGAGUGAUGAAGGAAUUCGUUUCGUAAAACUCUGUUCUAUGGGAAGAAAAGGACGGUACCAUAGGAGAAAGCUCCGGCUAAAUACGUG
This 480-nucleotide ribosomal RNA is filed under the name uncultured bacterium. Its description in RNAcentral is "partial 16S ribosomal RNA". It matches the Rfam family "Bacterial small subunit ribosomal RNA", at positions 28 to 507 of the family's 1533-position model. The record is from RNAcentral.